RNAcentral lists this ribosomal RNA (253 nucleotides) under uncultured bacterium. RNAcentral's name for it is "partial 16S ribosomal RNA". It matches the Rfam family "Bacterial small subunit ribosomal RNA", at positions 524 to 776 of the family's 1533-position model. The record is from RNAcentral.
UACGUAGGGGGCAAACGUUGCUCGGAAUUACUGGGCGUAAAGGGUGAGUAGGCGGCUGUGCAAGUCAUGGAUGAAAUCCCGCGGCUUAACCGCGGAACGGUCCUUGAAACUGCAUAGCUUGAGGAUAGUUGAAGAGAAUGGAAUUCCCGGUGGAGCGGUGAAAUGCGUAGAUAUCGGGAGGAACACCAGAGGCGUAGGCGAUUCUCUAAGCUACUCCUGACGCUGAAUCACGAAAGCUAGGGGAGCAAACGGG